CUGUAUGUUUUUUAUACAGUGCCAGGCAAAGUUAGCUGAAAAACAUUCUGUACCAAGAAUUUUUUUUGCUUCUUGCGUUACGUCAGUUUACUUACUACAAGUAAUGGGUAGUAUGUACGCCGGCUAUUUCCUCACUCUGGGGUUA
This is a small RNA of 145 nucleotides. It matches the Rfam family "Pseudomonas sRNA P14".